Bombyx mori (domestic silkworm) is the source of this 3846-nucleotide long non-coding RNA. RefSeq lists it as uncharacterized. The record is from RefSeq and is a predicted model, not a curated record. Lineage: Eukaryota; Metazoa; Arthropoda; Insecta; Lepidoptera; Bombycidae. The transcript has 2 exons.
CAGUUCCCCGUUGAUUCUGGUGAUGUGUGCUAGUUUUAAAAAGACUCUAAAUUAGGAUGAUCAACUUUUUUCCUUACUUAAUCCAGCAUCGAUGUCGCUAUCCACUGCGCGGAGGACAGGAGUGAAUGGAGGAACAUAGUCCUAGCAAAAGUGCUCCGUAAAGGUCACAACCCCUCAGCACUGAGGAAUAUGACGCACGGAGGAGGAAUCGCUGGUAGUCUAAGUAGCUAUUCCAGCUACGCUCAAGCGUUCAGACCAGCUCACUUGUUCAACAUGACAGAGCAUGCUAGCACUAGUCCUAGCAAGAGCAAUGCUUCGCUGAAUCUACCACCGGAUCCGAAUCGCGACCCACUGAGAAGAUCCGUCGAGAAACUCAGGAGCCAUCAGUUGUAGCUGAAAAAAUAGUAUCUUAGGACGUUAAAAUCGAUCGAAAAUCAAGAAUACUUCAAGGAAGAAAUUUGUGUCCUUGUGCGAACUCACAACACAACCUGUGAGCUGGGGUUCAGCUGUGCCCCUAGAAUUGCUGAUGUCCAUGAGCAUCAUGACCACUAAACAUGAAGGAUGCUCGUCUAAACAUUAAUAUUUAAAAAAAAAUUGAUAAAGAUGUCAGGAGCUAACGAGCGAGUUUGUAUCUAUAUAUUAAUACGUGAAGCAAAAACUUUGUAUCCCUUUUUACGAAAAUUGGGCGGACGAAGGAGUAUGAAAUUUUCCACACAUAGAGAAUAUAGAGAAGAAGUGCACAAUGCUAAUAUUUUUUUUAAAUAAUGCGUAAAAGAUACAUUAAAUCAAUAAAGAAAACAUUACACACACUACAUACCAUGUAUUUGACGCACACACGCAUGCAUACUAUUUAUUGUCAAACUUUUGUUCUUGACGUCUGUUGUCAAAUUGAGAAGAGAUUAAAUAUUGUUUGUCUUUGUUAAUAUUUUUUAUAGUGUAGUCUUGGCGAAAUUUGGGAUUAUAGCAGUAUAAAAUAUAAUCAUAAUUGUGUAAAAACUUACAAUUCCAAUUAAUUAUAUUUUCGACUACUGCGGGACCUCUAGUAUAGAUAAAUACAUUAGAUGUCUACAUAACUAUUUUUAUAUAAAAAUAUUGGGUAUUACAGUUACCGGCCCAAUUAUUUUAAAACGAAAUCAAUGAGCUUUUUGGCACUCGCACACCGUAACUAAAAUUACUUUUACGAUUUUAUUCUAAGAUUUUCAUUGCUAUUAUGUCAUAAUAUGUAGGUAUCAAUUCAGAAGUUUCGAAUAGUUUCUAGUUUUUUUUCAUUGCUUAGAUGGGUGGACGAGCUCACAACCCACCUGGUGUUAAGUGGUUACGGGAGCCCGUAGACGUCUACAACGUAAAAGCACCACCCACUUUUAUAUAUAAGUUCUAAGGUCUCAGUAUAGUUACAACGGCUGCCCCACCCUUCAAGCCGAAACGCAUUACUGCUUCACGGCAAAAAUAGAUGGAGAAUAUUUUUACGUGAACCGACGACUAAAAUGUUUCCUUAAAUUAAAUCCAGAUUAAACCGUCAAGGUAAAUGAAUUAUAAGAUGAAUAAGCUUCGGAAGUUCUGCAGCGAGUUCUUGUAUGUUUGAAAGUUGUACACUUGCGCGUUGAAGUGUAAUUUUGUUUUUCCUACCUAAGCUGGUAGCCUUGAGAGGCUAUUCCAGCGUAACCUUAACUAUUAGGUGAGCUCACGGGGCUCAAACCUGACGACGUUGCUAACACGGACCCUAGCAAAAGCCGUGCUUCGCAGAAUCUACCACCGGAUCGGAAACGCGACCCACCAAGAAGAUCCGGCGAGAAACUCUGUGGACUGAAGUGUAAUAGAAAUUACACCACUGACCGCAAAUAAUGGAAUAAUAAUAAUAAUAAUUGAAAACGGGUUUUUCACAGAUCGAAUCUGUUUGAAAUAACGUUAUUACAAUUCGAAAUGCCGGACAUUUCAAGGAUUCUCCAAGUUAAACAGUUACCGAAACUAGAGAAUAGCGCUUAUUCGCUCAUUGUCCAAGAUAAACUACGAUCAGUUAUACUAUUGAGUUAUUGCUUUGUUGUUAAUACAAUAAAUCGACAAGUUGCCAACUUCGGAACACCGGACUUACGGACCAAGAAAUUAAACUAGGACUCCCGCUGACCAUAAUAGUUCGAUAGUGAUGUGUAGUUACCGUUUAUUUUUAAUAUCGAUAAAUAUAAAAAGUUUUAAAUUGCUUUUUGUUUCAAUCAAUAGAUUUCAAAUGAGAGAAGCGGGGCGUUUAUUUGAAUAUAUUAACAGUACCCAAUUUAAUGGAUACAUCAGUAAUUUUCAUCUUAAUAUUUAAUAAUGUUAUGUAAAAGACUAUUUGCGUGAAAUCACAAAUCACACUAUUGAAUGCUCUAAACGUAGAUAUUGCGCAGUAAAUAUAACUGAACAAAACCAUUACAAAUUCUUUAUUACAAUGAUUUACUGGUGGGAGGACCUCUUGAGAGUCUGCGCGGGUAGGUACCACCACCCCGCCUAUUUCUGCUUACUGGUGGUAGGACCUCUUGAGAGUCUGUGUGAGUAGGUACCACCACCCCGCCUAUUUCUGCCGUGAAGCAGUAAUACGUUUCGGUUUGAAGGACGGGGCAGCCAUUGUAACUAUACUGAGACCUUAGAACUUAUAUCUCAAGUUGGGUGGCGCAUUUACGUUGUAGAUGUCCAUGGGCUCCAGUAACCACUUAACACCAGGUGGGCUGUGAGCUCGUCCACCUAUCUAUGCAAAAAAAGAAAGAUAGUACAGCCGCUAGUAAACCUAUCGAUCGUUACUAAUUUUAAACGAAUGAUCGAAUAUAGAGUAUAGUAAUCGAUAUAUUAUGUAAGUGUGAUAAUCACUAGCGGGUGUUUCUGAACGCCGUAUUUAAGCUGAAAUUGUAGCUUACUUAUUACCUGAGAUCGCAAAACUUGCUGGAAACUCUACACAGUCCAAACGAAUAAUGUUCUAACUGACAUCACUUCUCUAAGUUUUUGCCAGGUACCAUCCGGCUAUGGAAUGAGCUCCCCUCCACGGUGUUUCCCGAGCGCUAUGACAUGUUCUUCUUUAAAAGAGGCUUCUGGAGAGUAUUAAGCGGUAGGUAGCGGCUUGGCUCUGCCCCUGGCAUUGCUGAAGUCCAUGGGCGACGGUAACCACUCACCAUCAGGUGGGCCGUAAGCUCGUCUGCCUACAAGGGCAAUAAAAAAAAUUACAUUAAACUUUUUAUUCAUUCAAAAAAAUCUACACGAAGCGAAGAAAUUAAAAAAAAAAACAAUAUUUUCAUUAGAAUAUUAUAAACUGGAGCUUUCGAAUGAAUAUUAAGUAUUGAUGCUUAUUAUGGCAUGUUUUAAUUAAGUAAUAUCUAAAUAAAUAGAUAAAUAUCGACUCGUUACAUCUAAGUAGUGAAAGUUAAAAACUCAUGUAAGGCUAAGGUUUGAUGUUAUAAAUCUAUGAUUUAAGCCUCUCAGAUUGAGCAUUUGAAACUGGAAUUGGUUCUAAUGUAUUAAGAACUCAUGAAGUAAGAUUGUUUGAAGGAGUUGCUCAAGUAAUUCGUGUCUAGAAGUCGAGAACCUAAGAAAAAAGUGCUUGCUUUUCUACAAAUUCGUGUAAUAAUCUACGAAAGCGGUUUUUGUAAAAAGUAUUUUAUUAAUUUGGCAAUAAUACUUGUUUUGAUGGAACUUAAUUCUUUUUAUUGCACGUGUUAAAUUUUUUCGAUUUCAUAUUUGUAACAAACACAAAAAUUUCAUCGGUGUUUGGACCCAAAAAAAACCGUAAAAACAAACUUUGUAUUUUAAAUGCUAAAUGUAGAUAUAUGUAUAAAUUACACAAAUAUAAAAUCAAAAACUUUGAAAUAAAAUGCACUUAUGAAC